Long non-coding RNA from Haemorhous mexicanus (house finch), 4007 nucleotides. RefSeq lists it as uncharacterized. The record is from RefSeq and is a predicted model, not a curated record. The transcript is spliced from 3 exons. Lineage: Eukaryota; Metazoa; Chordata; Aves; Passeriformes; Fringillidae.
ACUUGGCACUCCCUCCCUUCCCUCUAGAAACUUCUAGCUGGAGCGUCGAGUGAUUGGAUCAGGGACCAGGACCCCUCCCUCGAUGUAUUCCCGUUGGUCUGUCCCUAAUGUCAAUCCCCUGCAUCCCACUCCCCUCUGGUUUCCCAUUUGUCCAGAGGUGGUUUCCUCCCCUGUUUCCCCUGCCCCCUUAAAAGCUGCUGCAUUUCUGGGGUCGGGGCUCCAACCGGGAAAAUUUAUUAGAGCCAGUAAAGCCUGAUUAUACCCUCGGCUGGAGUCAGCUCUCUUUUUCUGUUGGCUGUUGCUGCGAGUCCCGUCCGAUGCAGGGAGCUGCCUUCACAAUAGCGUGGAGCUGUAUCCCUAGGCGCUGUCUCGGGUGAGACCCGAGAGUGCUUCUGCUGCGAGCAGUGUGCUGGUUGCUUGCCGGGCGAAAGGGGGAGGACAAGCCUCCCCCCGACAGCUUGCUGCUUCAGUUUGGCCGCCCAGCGUAGGGCCCGAGGGCAUCCCCGGACCCCACGGACGAGACUCGUGGAUCUUUUGGACUUUGCCUCUGGAUUUCCACUUUGAGCUUUGGCCGGCAAACUACCUUUAGGUUGAGCAGACCCCUUUCUGGUGGGUGGCGCUCCCUGAGGAUAGGGAACGGCAGCUCCUAGCACCCGAAGGAGUCGUUCCCCCAACAGAACCACUGAACCCAGGUUUUUUUUGGUCCUCGCCGGAUUUGACUGUUCUGAUACAUCCAGUGAUGUUGCGUCCCGAUCGCGGGAGGAGUGGUGGCGCCGGUCGCCUGGGCGGUCCGGUCCCCUUUCGCUAUCGAUGUGUGUCAGGAGUGGCCUUGUCCCACCUCAGCUCCUGGCAGGCAGGAUCGCGGUUCGGCUACUGGCUGAGGUCCCGGACCAACAGGUGCGGCCGAUAAAUGUGGACCCACGUCUAAGGAUCGAGGCUUUCACAUCCACAGUGAAUAGCAUUUUUCACAGAGAACAAACAAAGUAUGCAUACGCUGUCCAGGUCGUCUGAAAACUCCUGUGGGACUCAACUGAACUGAUGAAUCAAGCAACGUUACAGUGCUGGAGGUUGCCGGGUCCCUUCCUGCGCUGCCUGGGGUUGCUGGUUGUAGGUUGGUGACGGUCCAGCCAGGGCUGCCUGUGGUCCAGCAAAGGCUGCUUGGGGUGGUGGCUGGGUUGAGGCUUGCGGCGGUUUACUCUGAGGCAUUGACUGGCGCAUCUGUGCUGCUCCACGCUUCUGCUCCAGUUUCCCGAUACUGGACGCCCUCCAAAAUCAUACUUGGACCGACAUUGAUUACGGCACAGUGGGCAAAUACCAGGCGUUUUGGAUCUGGCCUCCCCCUGUUGGAAACAGUCCUUUUUCAAAUGUCUAGAUUUCCCGCAAAUUUGGGGGUCCCCCUCCUUAAGAGCUUUUUUCUUUACUUGCAUCCAAUUAUCAUAAAGGUCAGGAGGGAAUGGAUCAGUCUCAUAGUCUGAAUCUAUUGGUCCUGGAUCGAAGGGCUCCCCCUCCUCCUCACUGCUAGAGCCCUGGUCAGUGAUAUAAACUGCUAACAACUGUCAGAAAGGAUGCCUCCCCCUCCUUUGUCUGGGCAGGGGCGAGGUUGAUGGCUGCGGCUGGUCUUCAGUAACAGAGGUGCCAGUUUCAAGUGGGCAGGGAGAGUCAGAGCGAGGCAGGGGGCUGGUAGCACCCUGUAAGAGACAGUCUGAAGUUUCCCUCAUUUGUCUCACGACCGUCCGAAGGACAGACAUUGGGACCCUGAGGACCCUGACUGGAGUUCUGGACUGGUUGAGGUGGAUGCUCACCCAGUGAUUGUUUGCAGCUGUGUUUACAGUGCUGCCAUGGUAUACUGCUUCAAGGGAGCAGGGUCUGCCAAGGAGCGACUCGCCCUAUAUGCUUGCACCUUCUUCAUGACAAUUGCCCAUGAAUUUCCCCACCUCUUGGCCAAAUGAACUUUCUGGGGUAACUUUGGUGAUCCUCCACAGAAACUCCCUCAUCUGCCUCGCGACCACUGUGAUGGACGGAGAUUGAAGCCCCCUCCCAAGGACUGAGAUUGAGGCCCCUAUAAUUCUAACACGGGGGGGCUGGCCUGACUGAAGCAAGAAUGUUGCCUGCAGGUGUGUUCGCUGGACCAAAACUGGUUUCCCAUAGAAACCAGUCCUGAAACAAUGGGUUCCACUCAUUGCUGAAAUCAACUUAUCCUGUUUUGGAACAUAGACUGUCUGUACCCGUUUUCAAUAGAUUUAUUCUUCAUUGUACCUGUUCCCCCCUCAGAGGAGGACUGUAAUAGACCCCUGAGUUAACCAAGACUUUUACAUUCUCCCUGAGGUGACAAGGCUGAUCUAUUGGCUGGUUGACGAGGAUUUAGUCUCUACGUCUGGUAGCUAUACCCCUUUCCCCUCUUUCUCUCUCUCUCUCUCUAUCCUUUAUCUCCUUUUCUAAAUCCUUCUAUCACAUUUGCUGUGGACAUUCAAUAAAAGGUGCAUUUGUUUUGAUUAAUACUGAAAUCCCCUCCAUGUUGUUUUUGCACUCUGAGAUCAGUUAACGAACCAUCACGACAUGCCCUUGUACGAGCGGAUCGUGACACAUCCACAAAAGAUAUAGCCCGAGACUGCUUGCUUUUUCACAAUGUCUCAAAAAGUAUUCUCUAGGAUGGUAGCAUACGUGACACCCAAUGUAAAAGUGACUUAAGGUCCUGCUUUAGGAUGGGGGAGUCAUGCCUGCCCAAAAGGGCGAGCAUGGUUUCAUAGACAUCUCUCUCACUGGAAUUGUCCUUUCCCACUUUUAGUUCCCCUGGCUCACCUGUCAGUCACAGCAUACAGGCCACUGUGGGCCCAGAUGCAGUUCUCUCACCAUCAUGAUCAGUUCCAGGGGUGCGUUGACUGCCAGCCAGUCAGGCCGGUUCAUUUUCUCACACGGGGCACCAAUUGUCGGGGAUGAAGAGAGAGGGAAGACUGAUUUUUUGCUUGCAGAAUUUAAUGAGUUUUUCUUUUUCCCGUAAACCCAUCUGAUUUAAUCUUCUUGCAAUCUAGAUCUAAUUUUCAAAGUUCCGUUUACUUUUGCCAAGGCCUUUUGUUUAUCAAAUCUCUUAUGCUUACCAGGUCCAAAGUCCAUCAUCUGUCUUGUGUCCCCCAGCCUCUCAACAUCUCCCCACUCUAAACGAUUUGUUAUUCUCAUCCUUUUGCAAAAUUUCAAUAGAUUCUUCUUAGGAGAAUUUGGCAAAUAGAGAAACUUAUUAAUCACAUAAUGUUUUCCUAAUUCAUAUUUUAAAGGUUGGAAGGUCUUAUCUUGCUCCUGAGGUACUAGUAGUUCUUACAGUACCUUGACUCCCCUCUGCUCUGCGCAGGGAUGGAUGCACAGCAAGGAUAUACCUGCCUGGGGACACCCCUGGCUUGGCCACUUUGCCCAUGUUUGGUCCUUGCCACCACCUCUUUUUGUUUCAGUGUCUGUCUGGGCUGGUUUUGCAAUAAUUGAUAUUAUAGAUGGAUAAUGAGAUGAUUUGCUCUCAAAAUUAAGGGAUGAAUAUUGUGUGAAUAUUAAGAAAAGCUUUAGUGAUGUAUAGUUAUGUUAUUGUAACUUGGAUGUCCUCUGUUCUCCCCAGAGUUCCCUUCCCCCCCCACUCUCUGUAUUGUUGCCAUCAGACAGCCUGGGUUGUCUAGGACAGGUAGAAAGAAGGCGUGCACAUGUGCCCCUUCCAUGGGGCAGUUGGGGAUGGAAAAGCUUGUUGCUAAAGGGGGCAUGACAACACCUGACCCUCCAAUCAAGUUACAAGAAAGCAGUCUCCACCGAUAAAUGGCAAAGAAGAGCUGACUGACAGACUUUAGGAGGGGCCAGGGUUGGCUGUUGCAACCCCCAGGGGUAUAAAAGGCUGACCAUCCAUGUUGAAGAGGAACCAGCCACGUGGUAGGCAGCCAUGAAGGCAGUUCCCAGCGCUGUAAAUUUUUCCUUGAUUAGUCCUUUUGUUGUAUUUUUGUUAAGCUUUAAUAAACUUUUUUAAAUUUUCAAAGUGA